CGGGUGAGUAAUGCUUGGGAAUCUAGCUUAUGGAGGGGGAUAACUACGGGAAACUGUAGCUAAUACCGCGUAGAAUCGGGAGAUGAAAGUGUGGGACCUUCGGGCCACAUGCCAUAGGAUGAGCCCAAGUGGGAUUAGGUAGUUGGUGAGGUAAAGGCUCACCGAGCCGACGAUCUCUAGCUGGUCUGAGAGGAUGACCAGCCACACUGGGACUGAGACACGGCCCAG
This 228-nucleotide ribosomal RNA is filed under the name uncultured bacterium. RNAcentral's name for it is "partial 16S ribosomal RNA". It matches the Rfam family "Bacterial small subunit ribosomal RNA", at positions 103 to 334 of the family's 1533-position model. The record is from RNAcentral.